This 491-nucleotide ribosomal RNA is filed under the name uncultured bacterium. RNAcentral describes it as "partial 16S ribosomal RNA". It matches the Rfam family "Bacterial small subunit ribosomal RNA", at positions 29 to 507 of the family's 1533-position model. The record is from RNAcentral.
GUGAACGCUGGCGGUAGGCCUAACACAUGCAAGUCGAACGGCAGCACAGUAAGAGCUUGCUCUUACGGGUAGCGAGUGGCGGACGGGUGAGGAAUACAUCUGAAUCUACUUUUUCGUGGGGGAUAACGUAGGGAAACUUACGCUAAUACCGCAUACGACCUACGGGUGAAAGCAGGGGAUCUUCGGACCUUGCGCGAUUGAAUGAGCCGAUGUCGGAUUAGCUAGUUGGCGGGGUAAAGGCCCACCAAGGCGACGAUCCGUAGCUGGUCUGAGAGGAUGAUCAGCCACACUGGAACUGAGACACGGUCCAGACUCCUACGGGAGGCAGCAGUGGGGAAUAUUGGACAAUGGGCGCAAGCCUGAUCCAGCCAUACCGCGUCGGUGAAGAAGGCCUUCGGGUUGUAAAGCCCUUUUGUUGGGAAAGAAAAGCAGCAGGUUAAUACCCCGCUGUUCUGACGGUACCCAAAGAAUAAGCACCGGCUAACUUCGUG